Molecule: long non-coding RNA, 7492 nt
Filed under: Homo sapiens (human)
Lineage: Eukaryota; Metazoa; Chordata; Mammalia; Primates; Hominidae
Description: HSALNT0001987
Source: RNAcentral
UAAAAGCAGGCUGCCGGAGCCGGGAGUGGCAAUCCCCUAAUGUUCCCUUCCACCUUGUGGAAGUUUUGUUCUUUCGCUCUUUGCAAUAAAUCCCAUUGUUGCUCGCUCUUUGGGGUCUCACUGUCUGUGCGAGCUGUAAUACUCGCCGCAAAGGUGUCUGGCUUCACUUCCGAGACCAGCGAGACCCCGAACCCACCGGGAGGAAUGAACAACUCCGGAUGGGAGGGACAAACAACACCAGACGCACCGCCUUAAGAGUCCUAACGCUCACCGCGGAGGUCUGCGGCUUCACUCUUGAAUGAAGCCAGCGAGAUCACAAACCCACCAGAAGGAAGGAACUCUGAACACAUCCGAAAAUCAGAAGGAACAAACUCCGGACACACUACCUUUAAGAACUGUAACACUCAAAUCGCGAGGGUCCACGGCUUCGUUCUUGAAGUCAGUGAGACCAAGAACCCACAAAUUCCGGACACUUCCCCACACAGAGGGAACUGGCCUAACACUCUGGUGGUGCCAAUAGGAUGUACUGACAGAUCAGAAGUGGUCGUGAGAGAAGGAGCAAGUAGCCAGAAGAGUGAAGUGUGCACUGGCUGAGAUGUGGGAGCAGGUGUUGUUGGUUUCCCCGGACAAGAAGGCCCUCGCCAGAUAUCAAGGCCUUAAGCUUGGACUUCCCAGCCUCCAGAACUCUAGGACUUUGGCCAAUGAUGGAAGCAAACAUCCCUUGACUCGUCUCCAACUUAAGAAGAGGAGUGCUCAAUAUUUCAACAUAAGGAGUCACGAUUACUGUAGAUGCUCUUUAACAGAUUGAGGAAAUCUCCUCCUAUCCCUAGUUAUGUGGAUUUAAAAAAUCAUGAAUGGGUCUAAAUUUUCGGCAAAUGCCUUUUCUUCAUCUAGUAAAAUGAUCAUAAUCUAUUUUUCUUUUAAUUGGUUAAUAUCAUAAAUUUCAUUAAAUGAUUUUCAUUUGUUAAAUAAACCUUGCAUUCCUGGAAUAAACUCCAGCCAGUCAUGAUGUAUUAUCCUUUUUAAUAUGUUGGUAUGUAAUUUUCUUAUCUUGUAAUGUCCUUGUUUGGAUGCAAUUUUUCAUUUAUUUGUCUGUCUAUUUGAUGAAAAGGUAUUUGUAAGCUUCAUGAGGCCUGCAAUUAUAUCUCUUGUGCUUGCCUUUUUUUCUCUCACGUGACUAAGAAUGUAAAAAUAGGUUGUUGAAGGAAUUACUGGAUGAAAGAAUAUAUGAGCAAAUUGUUUCUGGUCAUAAUAUGUGAAAAGUUCCUUAUAAGCAUUAAAGCAUAAAGCAUACCCAAGUAUGGGUUUUAUUAGUAGUAGAAGAAUUAAGACUACCUUGGUGCUUUUUAUAGGGUUCAGAGUAUGAGGCAAAGUAAUCAAUUUUACUGUAGAAAAUGAAUUCAGAAUCAGGCGGCUUUCCUCAGCUGGACUCAGGGAAGACCAUAUUAUAUUAUUUCCUCUACCUAAGGGCCCUUUUAAUGCUCUGUCAGUUCUCUGGAGCCAAGAGAAGUUCAGGACUUUAAUAUUUACUCUUACAAAUGUUCAUGACUCUCUCUUCCCACAGUGAAAAAAAAAAUGCUGCUGAUCCGAUUCUGUGUCUAAUUGUACAUAACCAUGUAUGUAGAUAGAUGUGAAAAAAUCUUUUUCAUGAUAAAGGCUGUUACAAGCAUAAAACAAUGUUUAUACUUGUAUGAUGUAUAACAUUAUACAAAGAUUUGAUACUUGAAAAUAUGUUGCAGCUUCAACUUACAAGAGAUAACUGCAAUAGAGAAAUAAACACGUGUUUGUAAAAUGCUACUUACCCCAAUUUCACUAAUUGUUAAAUUUAGCAUUCAAAAUUUUUGUUACAUUUAAAAAUAAUGUACAUGUUUACUUUAGUUUGAUUUUCUUUUUUCGCUUUGGAAGAAUUCCUGGGUAUAUAUGAUUCUCUAAAAGAGCAAAAGAAACCUUAAAAUAAAUGAGCCACUAAGCAACUAAUUACAAAAACUUUAAAAGGCAUAAAAAUCCUUACAAGAUGUACACAGAUCAACAAGUAUAUUGCAUACGGGGUCUAGCUGCUGGUCCGAGUGUUUGCUGUGGGGUAGAGCUCAGAAGUGAGAGUACUUCCCUUGAGCCUACAAAGAAAGGUCUUCAAAGGGCUGUUCUUUGUUUGGAGGGACUAGCCUGCAGCGUCCCUCAGCUUAUUUCCUGGCACAGAUGAUGGCCCUGCCUUUGUUUAUAAUGACCAAGUCUUUGGUUCUGAUGUUUUGUUUGUUUGUUUGUUUGUUUUUGAGACUGGAGUCUAGCUCUGUCGCCAGGCUGGAGUGCAGUAGUGCAAUCUCAGCUCACGGCAACCUCCUCCUCCCGGGUUCAAGCAAUUCUCCUGCCUCAGCCUCCAGAGGAGCAGGCAUGUGCUGCCACACCCAGCUAAUUUUUGUAUUUUGUUUUAGUAGAGAUGGGGUUUCACCAUGUUGGCCAGGAUGGCCUCAAUCUCCUGACCUCGUGAUCUGCCCACCUCGGCCUCCCAAAGUGCUGGGAUUACAGGUGUGAGCCACAGUGCCUGGCCUGAUUAUUAUUUUAGAAUUAAAAUAUCCCAAGUUUCUGAAGCGAGAAAAGCAGUUUCCCCUCUUUCUAGUGCCUUCUGGCUGCUGGCGAAAUGAUGAACAUGUUGAGCUUUACAAGCCAGAGAUUCGAUGAGAACAGAAACACACCUGCCAGGAAAAGAAAAGGCUGCUUAGAGUGAGGAUUCAGGACCUGGAGCCCACUCUGCGGAGAGGGACUGGGGUCAGGUCCUGAUUGGCUUGUGCUCUUCUCUUUUACGCAGGUCUUAUGUAUCAACAAAAUCACACCAGACCACCCAAAGCUGGCCCUGCCAACUGACCACACACACCCCUGCCUGAAAGGCAUGUUUCAAUGUGCAACAGACGCCUGCCACUCAGGGGACAUCAAAUGUUCAUGAGAACUCGCUAACCUCGAAACAGGUUCUACAAAUUCAAAAAAACCACCCGUGGCCUGGCUCUGGGCUGAAGCUGAGUCCUGGCUUGAAAUCCCCUGCCUUAAUCUCUCUUCGAAGACUUUUCUGCAUUCAUCUGAGUCCUCAUCCUCCAAGGCAGGGCUCAGGCUUGGGCUCAGGCUCCCAGCCAUGUAUCCCUCCUGGACCAUUCCUGACUCCUUUCCAGUAUCCUUAUCACUUGUACCACAUACGUUGGCCUUUGAUCCUGUGUACUGUUGGAUUUGUCUUUACUUCACAGGUUCAUCUUGUCUCCCCAAGAACAAUGAGAGUUGCCUCAAGGGGUAGAACCAUGCUUUUUGUUUUCUUUUGAAUUCAUUACAGCACAGCCAAAAGCUCAACACACAAAACACACUCAGUAAAUAUCUGUUGAACAGAAUAAAAGCCAUUCCGCAUAACCAACCCUGAUCUCUUUUGCUGGACUGUAAACCAACCUACCUAUUGUUAGUCCUUCACAGAUUAUAUGGUGGAUCUGAACACAUCAGGUAGAACCUUUGAUAAACUUAAAGUCCUUCAUUGAAUCACUCUGUAGCCACUGUUUUCUCUAGGACAAAAGCUUUAAAUAUUUUGAGAAAAUUGUACAAGACCAUCCAUCCUGAUUCUCAUGGCUUUGGUUGUUCAGAAAGGAAAUCUUUGUACACACACCAUUUCACUGCCUCCUUUUCAGUUUCCCAAUUUGGAAAAAGGAAAAAUGUGAACUAUCCCCCUCUUCGCGUUCUUUUCUAACUGAAGUGAUAGAUUUCAGAGUCGUAUAAAGCUAAGAUUAUCGUUUAUCAUAUCUCAGAUUCAGGGAGGUGGUUAGCAUGCCAACGUGCAAAUCCCCAGGCAACUGUGAACAGCCAUUUGGAGAAUCCACCACAUGGAAAAUCCUCCAGAGUCUCUGGGCAAUCGAACUGUGACAUCUUCAUCACAUUGGUCCCAAGGAUUGAUUCAGCAAUGUGCCCAAUUAGGUGGGUGUCCCCUUCCAUCAUGGCUCUCCUAUGUGGGUCCCUUCUGAAAUAAUGCAUCCUUCAGGGUGCUUUCAGCUACGAGCAACAUAAAACUCAAUUAAAAGUGUGCUAGACAGAAAGGACAUUUUUCAUCUCACUUAUGUACUGAGAAGUCUGAACAUGGGAUAAAUCCCUGAUUGGCUAAUUUGCUCAAUGACACCAACAGAAGACCUUGGUGCUUCCUACCCUGCCAGAUUGAACACAAUGGACUCCUCUUGGGAUCACCAAGUUGGCUCCAGCAGUUUCAGGCUUUGCCCAGAGACAUGACGACAUACAGCAAGAAAAGGAAAUUUCCUUCCAUCGCCUCUCUUUUAUUUCUGAGGACACCUUUCCCAGAAAAUGCAUAGCAGGCUUUUGUUUACAUGUUUUCUUUUCUCUCUCUCACUCUCUCUCUCUCUCUUUUUUUUUUUUUUUUUCUCUAAGAUGGAGUCUCAUUCUGUUGCCCAGGCUGGAGUGCAGUGGCACGAUCUGAGCUAAUCACAACCUCUGCCUCCCAAGUUCCAGCGAUUCUCCUGCCUCAGUGUCCCGAGUAGCUGGGACUACAGGUGCACACUGCCGUGCUUGGCUAAUUUUUUUUGUAUUUUUUUUUCUUUAGUGGAGAUGGGGUUUCGCCAUGUUGGCCAGGCUAGUCUCAAGCUCCUGACCUCAAGUGAUCCACCCACCUUGGCUUCCCAAAGUGUUGGGAUUACAGGUGUGAGCCAUUGCGCCCAGCCUGUUCACAUGUUCUUAACCAGAAGGGGGUCAAUGUCAUUCCUAAAACCAUCACUGGGUCAGAAGAGAGACAGGUCUCUUUGAUUGCCUUAGGCAGAUUGAGAUUCUCUCUCUGGAGGGUGGGAAGGGGUCCAUUCUCACCAGAAUGAUUUGGUUACUCAAGGAAAUGUGGAUAAAAUUACCUUCUAUGAGCAAAGAAGGUAAGCCAGUGAACACUGGAGAAAAUCAAGAGUGACAGCAGCAGAUGGUAUUAAGAUCAAUUUCUCAAACAGAGGAGGCUCUUUUUUUUUUUUUUUUUUUGAGACAGAGUCUUGCUCUGUCACCCAGGCUGGAGUACAGUGAUUCAAUCUUGGCUCAUCAUAACCUCCGCCUCCUGAGUUCAAGCGAUUAUCCUGCCUCAGGCUCCCAAGUAGCUGGGAUUACAGAUGCGCGCCACCACGCCCAGUUAAUUUUUGUAUUUUUAGUAGAGACGGUGUUUUGCCAUGCUGGCCAGGCUGGUCUCGAACUCCUGACCUCAGGUGAUCCACCCACAUCGGCCUUCCAGUGCUGAGAUUACAGGCGUGAGCCACCGCACCCAGCCAAGGAGGCUUCUCUUAAAAAUGAACCAAUAGCUACUUGCCCCAGGAUUAAAACAGGAACAAUGGAGGAAAGGAGGACAAUUUUAGGGAUUUCAGAUUCUGUUUACAUGCAUCUAAAACUCUGCUUCAAGUCUUAACAAUAUACAAGACCUAUUGAGGGAAAAUAGUAUUUGUAAAUUCAGGGUUCUAAACAUAUUUUCCUCCCUAAAGACUAAACUUGUAAACUAUUGCCAUGUCAAGGAAAGGAAGAACAUUUAAAACCAUUCACAUCCUUUUCCAGUAUGGAUGCUUUCAAUACCAUUUUUCUUUCAUCCUUCCCUCCACAGAUGAUCUAGGGUUACUCUUGACAGAGAACAAGAGAAAGAACUGUGACACCUGCCUGCACCAUAUUUAUUCUUCUCAAAAUUACAUAUCAAACACUUGUGCUAGCUUCAAAUAAUAAGGGCUAACAAUUACCAGGCAUUUACUCUGUGCUAAGUGCUUCAUAUGCGUCAUCUCAUUUAAAUUGUCUAACAACCAGUGAAGCUGCUAAUUGCAGUGGAUGUUUGUUAUUUUUCCCACUUGGAACCUGUUCUCACCUCCUUCUGACAAUGCUAUUGCAUUUUUACAUGGAUAAGUAUUUGUAGUCUGUCCAGAUAAGCAACAAAAAAUUGAAUAAAUUGGACUUCAUAAAAAUUAAAAACUUUGUACACCAAAGGACACUAUCAAGAUGGAGAAAAGAUAACUUACAGAAUGAGAGAAAAUAUUUGCAAAUCAUAUAUCUGCUAAGAAUAUAGUACCAGAUUAUAUAAAAAAAUAUAAUUCAACAAAGAGACAAAGAAAAUUUAUGUAUGGGCAAAGGACUUGGAUAGACAUUUGUCCAAAAACAUACAAAUGGGCAAAAAGCACAUAAAAGAUAGUCAACAUCAUUAGUCAUGAGAGAUAUGCAAAUCAAAGCCAUAAUGAGAUACUACUUUACAAUCAUGAGAAUGACUAAAGUAAAAAAGACAAUAACAAGUGUUGAUGAGGAGGUAGAGAAAAUGGAACCUUUGUGCAUUGCUGGUAGGAAUGUAACAUGGUGCAGCUGCUGUGAAAAGGAGUUUGGUGAUUCCUCAAAAAGUUGACCAUAGAAUUAGCAUAUGACACAGUCAUUUGACUCCCAGAUAUAUACUCAAAAGGAUUGAAAACUGUCAAAUUUGUAUACAGAGAUGCUCAUACAUCAUCCUUCGUUAUAGCCCCAAACUGGAAACAUCUCAAAUGUUCAUCAGCUAAAGAAUGGAGAAACACUCAGUGAUAUAUUUAUAUGAUGGAAUAUUAUUCAGCCAUAAACAGGAAUGAAGUACUAAUACAUGCUGCAACAUGAAUGCACCUUGAAAAUACACCAAGUGGGAGAAGCCAGACAUAAAAGCCACAUAUUGUAUAAUUUCAUUUAUAUGAACUAUCUAGAAUAGGAAAAUCCAUAGAGACAGAUUAGUAGCCUCCAUUCUUUGGUUGCUCAGGCCAAAAGCCUUGGAGCAAUCCUUACUCCAUUACCUAUUCACAUACUUCAGAUCUAAUGAGUCAGGACAUCCUGUUUGUAAGCACCCACCCAAAAUAUACCCAGCACUUCCCUCUCCUCUGCUGCUACUUCCGUGGUGAGGGACACCCCAGUGUCUCUCACCUGCAUUGCUGCAGGAGCCUUCUGACCAACUUCUCUGGUUUGUCUUCUUUGUCCUAGAUUGUUUCCAGUGGUCCCCAGCUCUGGUAUUCUUUCCAUUGUGCCAUCAACCAAUAGAACAAAACAGAAGUGAGAGCUUCCCUGUCCAUCUGUUUCUCUGACUUUCUGUCCUUCCAUCUCUAUCUCUGAAUUUCUGCCUCUCUCUCUCUCUCUCUCUCUGUGUGUGUGUGUGCGCGCACAUGCACGCCUAUAUUAGUCUGUUUUGUUUUACUGUAAGAAAUACCUGAGGCUGGGUAAUUUAUAAAGAAAAGAGGUUUAUUUGGCUCACAGUUUUGCAGGCCAUACAAGUAUGGCACCAGCCUCUGCUUGGCUUCUGUGAGGACCUCAGGAAACUUAAAAUCAUGGCAGGAGGUGAAGGAGGAGCAGGUGCGUCACAUAGCCAGAGAGAGGUCAAAAGAGAGGUUAAGAGAGAGGAGGGACUAGGUGCAGUGGCUCAUGCCUGUAAUCCUAGCACUUUGGAAGGCUGAGGUGGACGGAUCACCUGAGGUCAGGAGUUUGAGACCGGCUUGACCAACAUGGUGAAACCCCG